This 216-nucleotide ribosomal RNA is filed under the name Triticum aestivum (bread wheat). Its description in RNAcentral is "partial small subunit ribosomal RNA". Lineage: Eukaryota; Viridiplantae; Streptophyta; Magnoliopsida; Poales; Poaceae. The record is from RNAcentral.
AUGGGACGGAUGUUGGCCGCCGCCAACGCCGGCCGCCGCGCCGUCGCGCUGCAUCAGGAGAAGCGACGUCGGAGCCGCCGCCGUGCCAAGGUGUGGCGGAGAGAACUGCGCUCCGCAUGCGCGUUGGCCGUCUCUGUUGCCGGGCUGCGUGGCGGGCCGUGGUGCUCCUCCGGAGGGAGGAGCGUUGCUGCCGGGAUGUGGUCGUCGCCGCUGUAG